GGAGUUGUGGUUCAGUACUAGAAUUCUUGCCUGACAUGCAUGAAGCCCUGGGUUCAAACUCCAGCAACACAC
RNAcentral lists this transfer RNA (72 nucleotides) under Ictidomys tridecemlineatus (thirteen-lined ground squirrel). RNAcentral's name for it is "Spermophilus tridecemlineatus (thirteen-lined ground squirrel) tRNA". It matches the Rfam family "tRNA". Rfam says of the family: Transfer RNA (tRNA) molecules are approximately 80 nucleotides in length. Their secondary structure includes four short double-helical elements and three loops (D, anti-codon, and T loops). Further hydrogen bonds mediate the characteristic L-shaped molecular structure. tRNAs have two regions of fundamental functional importance: the anti-codon, which is responsible for specific mRNA codon recognition, and the 3' end, to which the tRNAs corresponding amino acid is attached (by aminoacyl-tRNA synthetases). tRNAs cope with the degeneracy of the genetic code in two manners: having more than one tRNA (with a specific anti-codon) for a particular amino acid; and 'wobble' base-pairing, i.e. permitting non-standard base-pairing at the 3rd anti-codon position. The record is from Rfam by way of RNAcentral. Lineage: Eukaryota; Metazoa; Chordata; Mammalia; Rodentia; Sciuridae.